AAUCCACUUAAGCCUAGCUUAGUGUUGGGAAUCUACUGUUUACUGUAGUUCCUCAAAGCGAGCGGCGGAGUUGUGAUAUCCUCUGAGCUUAGUAGUUACUAUUCUAGCUUUCGAGUGGGAUCACUCCCCUUGCCGUUAAACACCCUUCUUUCUGAAU
RNAcentral lists this unclassified non-coding RNA (157 nucleotides) under uncultured Xylariales. Its description in RNAcentral is "sequence contains ITS2". Lineage: Eukaryota; Fungi; Ascomycota; Sordariomycetes; Xylariales. The record is from RNAcentral.